AUCACUUCUCAGCCUUUUGGUUAAGAUCAAAAGUAAAGCAACUGUUCUUAUCAGUUUAAUAUCUAACAUGUCCUCUAUCUGAGGACAAUAUAUUAAACUAGAGGCCUGACGCACA
This 115-nucleotide small nuclear RNA is filed under the name Myotis davidii. RNAcentral's name for it is "U2 spliceosomal RNA". It matches the Rfam family "U2 spliceosomal RNA". From Rfam's summary of the family: U2 is a small nuclear RNA (snRNA) component of the spliceosome (involved in pre-mRNA splicing). Complementary binding between U2 snRNA (in an area lying towards the 5' end but 3' to hairpin I) and the branchpoint sequence (BPS) of the intron results the bulging out of an unpaired adenosine, on the BPS, which initiates a nucleophilic attack at the intronic 5' splice site, thus starting the first of two transesterification reactions that mediate splicing. Lineage: Eukaryota; Metazoa; Chordata; Mammalia; Chiroptera; Vespertilionidae. The record is from Rfam by way of RNAcentral.